This is a long non-coding RNA of Triticum aestivum (bread wheat), 2063 nucleotides long. RefSeq lists it as uncharacterized. NCBI's taxonomy places the organism in Eukaryota, Viridiplantae, Streptophyta, Magnoliopsida, Poales, Poaceae. The transcript is spliced from 4 exons. The record is from RefSeq and is a predicted model, not a curated record.
GCACUAGUUGACAUGAUACAAUAUCUUUUCAAAAGAUGAUACAUUAUCUUCAUGAAAGAAAGGAAGUUGGAGAAGUUAUUAUUUAAGAGGAAUUCAGUGUCAUGUGGUUCUCAAGAGCUAAAAUGGAACAACAAGUGCAAGCCUGUCAUGCCUACACUAACUAAUCAGAUUUCCCGAGGGAGAAGAAGGAGGUGCCGAAAGGGUAUGGGAGUAACAAGUCUGAAUCGAAGAGUAUAUAUGUUUUGAUUUUGAGUUGCAUUGCCCAGUAUUUUUAUUGUUCUAAGAAAUCCAUGGAGAUGUCUAUGGAACAUUUCCUUGAUGUGAUAGGCAUAUUUGUUUACCACAUUCAGUUGUUGGCCCUGCUGUUGACGUCCAUGGUGGCGCUGAUGAUGAUCUUGGCAAGGAUUUGAUGUAUCUGCCUGGGGUCUUGGUAUGUCCUUGAGCACGCAUCAGGACAAAUUGUCUACUACAAAAGUGACCGACACGACACGGAGUUUUAUUGAAUAAAUCCUACUGAGGAUAUACAAUGAGUAUUGCGAAGAUCAUCAACUCCGUGGUGGAUAUUUAUUGGCCUGACAUAUCAGGUGAAAUCCAUCCAGUAUAUUUUAUAUUAUAUAUUGCUUUAUUUAAAAGAGCAAUUACUCUGGCUUGUAAGUUCUCCAGUGCAGGAGAAGUUAUAUCAAUGAGAUGUUGAAUGACUCAUACCAGUUUAUAUCACGGUUAAAUAUGGAGAAUCUCAAGACAACUUCUCGAGUCAUCUUAAGACUCGGGGGCUACAAUGACAUGACUCGGCGAAAUCGGCCAGUUUUAGUGAAUUCAAGAACUCCGGGUCAAUGGAGGGAAGAUAACCCGGUCCCGUAGACUACCGCCAUAUUGGUAAAAAAUUAAAGGCCGUCAGAAAAUUUCCGGCUCACAAUGAUGCUUCGGUUUACAAUCCGGCUCAAGGUAAACCUGUCUCCCACAAAGCUUUAAAGCUCUAAAUGUCCGGUUUGAAAUUCCGGUUUAAAAAGAAUUCAUUUCUUGCAAGAUCGAGGUUUUAGAAAAAAAUUAUAGGGACCAAAGAGAGUUUGUUGCACAGAACCACUCAAACAUAGGCACCCGGCGAGCACAACUCAGAAAUAUAUCACUUGGGAGCUUCCGGCUUAUUGAGCUAAGCUAUGAUUAUCCUUUGAUUCGGCUCAUAGCCACAUUUACAUGUCAUUUGAGGGCUUUCUGUUCAAACAUAGGUCGUAUUUGAACCAAAGAGAACAUAGAUGCCGGUACCCUCUUGAUCGGCGCAAUGCCAAACUCACUAGGGGGCUUCUUGAUCGUAUUCGAAUCAUAGCUUAACCCCUUUUGGGUCCGACUCGGAUCGUAUUCGAAUCAGGCUCGUUAAAAACCUUUCAAGGUCAUUUGGGGGCUUCCUGUUCAAACAUAGGUCGUAUUCGAACCAAAGAGAACAUAGCUGUCGGUACCCUCUUGAUCGGCGCAACGCCAAAGCCACUGGGGGCUACAUGAUCGUAUUCGAAUCCUAGCUUAACCCCUUUGGAACGGUUUACUGAUCGUAUUCGAAUCAGAAGCCUCGAUUUUUCUUUCUAUUUGGCUUAAGUUUUCUGAAAACAAUCUUUGAUUUUGUAUUGAGACUUUUUUGUUCAGAUUUAAGUAUAAGUGUGGUUUAAAUUUAACCCGGCUUGGUUUUGGACGAUAAGUCGCCAACAUAUGACAAACAUCAUACAUUUGGAAGUGAGUGGCUUCUAAGGAUUGGGUUAUCACCCUUACUGCACAGGUAUCCUAAACCGGCAGUAUGAUUCAAUAUCACAUGAACCAGUUUUGCAAACCGGAUUUUAUUAUUCAAUUCUUUAAUAGCCAACAUGGCUGGAUUUUUAUUAUGGUUAUCAAUAGCCAGUAUUAUGAUGGAGGUCUUCAAAGUCGCUUCAGCGCAAUGGCUAUUAUUCUAUCAAUGGGCAUGAUUUAUUUUACAAUGGAGGAAAUAGUCCCGAGUCGCUGUAGGCUUACGACCCGACACUUGGGGGCUACAUUAUUCAAGUUGAGAUUACAUCAAAUAUGCAAGUCUCAUGUCACUG